CACGUAGGGUGCGAGCGUUGUCCGGAAUUAUUGGGCGUAAAGAGCUCGUAGGCGGUGUGUCGCGUCGGCCGUGAAAACCUGCAGCUUAACUGUGGGCUUGCGGUCGAUACGGGCAUCACUGGAGUUCGGCAGGGGAGACUGGAAUUCCUGGUGUAGCGGUGAAAUGCGUAGAUAUCAGGAGGAACACCGGUGGCGAAGGCGGGUCUCUGGGCCGAAACUGACACUGAGGAGCGAAAGCGUGGGGAGCAAACAGG
RNAcentral lists this ribosomal RNA (254 nucleotides) under uncultured bacterium. RNAcentral's name for it is "partial 16S ribosomal RNA". It matches the Rfam family "Bacterial small subunit ribosomal RNA", at positions 524 to 776 of the family's 1533-position model. The record is from RNAcentral.